UACCUCUGUCUGGAGAAUAGCCCGAAGAAAUUCGGAUUAAUGCUCCGUAACACCAUGAUGAGGCAUCUCGUCAUGGUCAAAGCUCCGGCGGUCAGAGAUGGACAUGCGUAACAUUAGCUUGUUGGUGAGGUUACGGCUCACCAAGGCUACGAUGUUUAGGGGGUCUGAGAGGAUGGUCCCCCACACUGGUACUGAGACACGGACCAGACUUCUACGGAAGGCAGCAGUGAGGAAUAUUGGUCAAUGGGCGAAAGCCUGAACCAGCCAUGCCGCGUGAAGGAGGACAGCCCUACGGGUUGUAAACUUCUUUUGUACGGGAAGAAACACUUCUACGUGUAGAAGCUUGACGGUACCGUACGAAUAAGCAUCGGCUAACUCCGUGCCAGCAGCCGCGGUAAUACGGAGGAUGCAAGCGUUAUCCGGAUUCAUUGGGUUUAAAGGGUACGUAGGCGGAAGAUUAAGUCAGUGGUGAAAUCCUGCAGCUUAACUGUAGAACUGUCAUUGAUACUGAUCUUCUUGAAUAUAGUUGAGGUAGGCGGAAUGUGUAAUGUAGCGGUGAAAUGCUUAGAUAUUACACAGAACACCGAUUGCGAAGGCAGCUUACUAAACUAUGAUUGACGCUGAGGUACGAAAGCGUGGGGAGCGAACAGGAUUAGAUACCCUGGUAGUCCACGCUGUAAACGAUGAUCACUCGUUGUUGGCGAUAUAGUGUCAGCGACUGAGCGAAAGCAUUAAGUGAUCCACCUGGGGAGUACGAUCGCAAGAUUGAAACUCAAAGGAAUUGACGGGGGCCCGCACAAGCGGAGGAACAUGUGGUUUAAUUCGAUGAUACGCGAGGAACCUUACCUGGGCUUAAAUGUAGAACGACGGAUCGGGAAACUGAUCCUUCUUCGGACGGUCUGCAAGGUGCUGCAUGGCUGUCGUCAGCUCGUGCCGUGAGGUGUCGGGUUAAGUCCCAUAACGAGCGCAACCCUCAUCAUUAGUGCACAGCGGGUAAUGCCGGGGACUCUAAUGAAACUGCCGGUGUAAACCGAGAGGAAGGUGGGGAUGACGUCAAGUCAGCACGGCCCUUAUGUCCAGGGCUACACACGUGUUACAAUGGUCGAUACAAAGGGCAGCUACCUGGUGACAGGAUGCUAAUCUCUAA
Molecule: ribosomal RNA, 1147 nt
Filed under: uncultured organism
Description: bacterial SSU rRNA
Rfam family: Bacterial small subunit ribosomal RNA
Source: RNAcentral